AAACGUUUCUGUCAUAAUGCUAAAACGCCACAGACAAAGACGACAGUGAUGAAGAUAAGGACAGUUCUUCUGAAGAAGAGAAGGACGGAUAGAACUCUGAUUCAGAUUCUGAUGUAGACAGCGACAGAGAAGACAGCAAGAAUGGCAGCCAGGAUGACAGCGAGGCUGAAUCAGACCCAAACAGUGAAGACGACACCAAGUCAGAGGACGCAGACAAUAGUAUGAUGAAAAAGUCCAACGAUUCUGACAAUUCUGAGGAGAAUGAUAAUGACAAAGAUGACUCUGAUUCAGAGGAUUGACAAUCUUAGUGGGAUGCAGAGCCAGGAGUGGAGAUUCACACUGGUUUGUUUUCUCUGGCCUGACUUCAAAUGACCUAGGACCAGAAUCUGGUGUCAUCCACACGUAUAUAUCAACUAUCAAAUAGCAUUACAUUUCUUAAAACACCAUGGGAAAAGUGUUCUUGCAUGGUCCUGUGGUCCUGUGGUUCGUUCAGCAAAAACUGUAUUUUUCCACUUUCCUGUCAGAUAAGUCAUACCAAUGCAUGUAAAAACUAUGAAUACAA
Molecule: long non-coding RNA, 562 nt
Organism: Esox lucius (northern pike)
Lineage: Eukaryota; Metazoa; Chordata; Actinopteri; Esociformes; Esocidae
Exons: 4
Source: RefSeq, a predicted model, not a curated record